UGCGUCCUACGGGGGGCAGCAGUGGGGGAUAUUGCACAAUGGGGGGAACCCUGAUGCAGCGACGCCGCGUGGGUGAAGAAGCGCCUCGGCGCGUAAAGCCCUGUCAGCAGGGAAGAAAAUGACGGUAACUGAAGAAGAAGCCCCGGCUAACUACGUGCCAGCAGCCGCGGUAAUACGUAGGGGGCAAGCGUUAUCCGGAUUUACUGGGCGUAAAGGGGGCGCAGACGGCGAUGCAAGCCAGGAGGGAAAGCCCGGGGCCCAACC
Molecule: ribosomal RNA, 264 nt
Filed under: uncultured bacterium
Lineage: Bacteria
Description: partial 16S ribosomal RNA
Rfam family: Bacterial small subunit ribosomal RNA
Source: RNAcentral